CUACGGGUUGCUCCAGUGGGGAAUAUUGGACAAUGGGGGAAACCCUGAUCCAGCAAUGCCGCGUGUGUGAAGAAGGCCUGCGGGUUGUAAAGCACUUUCGGUUGGGAGGACUGCUUCUAGCACUAAUAUUGUUGGAAGUUGACGUUACCUUCAGAAGAAGCACCGGCUAACUCCGUGCCAGCAGCCGCGGUAAUACGGAGGGUGCAAGCGUUAAUCGGAAUUACUGGGCGUAAAGCGCGCGUAGGCGGCUAGAUCAGUCGGGUGUGAAAGCCCCGGGCUUAACCUGGGAACUGCAUCCGAUACUGUCUAGCUCGAGUACAGGAGAGGAGAGUGGAAUUCCACAUGUAGCGGUGAAAUGCGUAGAUAUGUGGAGGAACACCAAUGGCGAAGGCAGCUCACUAAGCUGUAACUGACGCUCAGGCACGAAAGCGUGGGGAGCAAACAGGAUUAGAUACCCCCGUAGUC
Molecule: ribosomal RNA, 465 nt
Filed under: uncultured bacterium
Lineage: Bacteria
Description: partial 16S ribosomal RNA
Rfam family: Bacterial small subunit ribosomal RNA
Source: RNAcentral